UGCGCCUGCAAAGGAGGCAGCCUUGUCCGCACAACUAUGUUUUGCAGGCAACAGGACAAGGUAUCCUCCCGUGAUCUGCAAUUUUGCAGAUUCAAAACCAUUC
RNAcentral lists this small RNA (103 nucleotides) under uncultured Prevotella sp. RNAcentral describes it as "RT-5 RNA". It matches the Rfam family "RT-5 RNA". From Rfam's summary of the family: Clostridium (Firmicutes). The record is from RNAcentral. Lineage: Bacteria; Pseudomonadati; Bacteroidota; Bacteroidia; Bacteroidales; Prevotellaceae.